RNAcentral lists this ribosomal RNA (691 nucleotides) under Chryseobacterium sp. T82.09.LHR.H.Kidney.D. RNAcentral describes it as "bacterial SSU rRNA". It matches the Rfam family "Bacterial small subunit ribosomal RNA", at positions 61 to 752 of the family's 1533-position model. RNAcentral also lists the same sequence under 1 other name. Lineage: Bacteria; Pseudomonadati; Bacteroidota; Flavobacteriia; Flavobacteriales; Weeksellaceae. The record is from RNAcentral.
GCCGAGCGGUAGAGAUUCUUCGGAAUCUUGAGAGCGGCGUACGGGUGCGGAACACGUGUGCAACCUACCUUUAUCAGGGGGAUAGCCUUUCGAAAGGAAGAUUAAUACCCCAUAAUAUAUUGAAUGGCAUCAUUUAAUAUUGAAAACUCCGGUGGAUAGAGAUGGGCACGCGCAAGAUUAGAUAGUUGGUAGGGUAACGGCCUACCAAGUCAAUGAUCUUUAGGGGGCCUGAGAGGGUGAUCCCCCACACUGGUACUGAGACACGGACCAGACUCCUACGGGAGGCAGCAGUGAGGAAUAUUGGACAAUGGGUGAGAGCCUGAUCCAGCCAUCCCGCGUGAAGGACGACGGCCCUAUGGGUUGUAAACUUCUUUUGUAUAGGGAUAAACCUACUCUCGUGAGAGUAGCUGAAGGUACUAUACGAAUAAGCACCGGCUAACUCCGUGCCAGCAGCCGCGGUAAUACGGAGGGUGCAAGCGUUAUCCGGAUUUAUUGGGUUUAAAGGGUCCGUAGGCGGAUCUGUAAGUCAGUGGUGAAAUCUCAUAGCUUAACUAUGAAACUGCCAUUGAUACUGCAGGUCUUGAGUAAAGUAGAAGUGGCUGGAAUAAGUAGUGUAGCGGUGAAAUGCAUAGAUAUUACUUAGAACACCAAUUGCGAAGGCAGGUCACUAUGUUUUAACUGACGCUGAUGG